RNAcentral lists this ribosomal RNA (458 nucleotides) under uncultured bacterium. RNAcentral's name for it is "bacterial SSU rRNA". It matches the Rfam family "Bacterial small subunit ribosomal RNA", at positions 340 to 786 of the family's 1533-position model. The record is from RNAcentral.
UACGGGAGGCAGCAGUGGGGAAUAUUGCACAAUGGGCGAAAGCCUGAUGCAGCUAUGCCGCGUGUAUGAAGAAGGCCUUAGGGUUGUAAAGUACUUUCAUCGGGGAGGAAAAAACAAAACUAAUAAUUUUAUUUCUUGACGUUACCCGAAAAAGAAGCACCGGCUAACUCCGUGCCAGCAGCCGCGGUAAUACGGAGGGUGCUAGCGUUAAUCAGAAUUACUGGGCGUAAAGAGCACGUAGGUGGUUUUUUUAAGUCAGAUGUGAAAUCCCUGGGCUUAACCUGGAACUGCAUUUUGAAACUGAAAUACUAGAGUAUCGUAGAGGGAGGUAGAAUUCUAGGUGUAGCGGUGAAAUGCGUAGAUAUCUGGAGGAAUACCUGUGGCGAAAGCGGCCUCCUAAACGAAUACUGACACUGAGGUGCGAAAGCGUUGGGGAGCAAACAGGGAUUUAGGAUACC